GACGGGGGGGGCAAGUGUUCUUCGGAAUGACUGGGCGUAAAGGGCACGUAGGCGGUGAAUCGGGUUGAAAGUGAAAGUCGCCAAAAAGUGGCGGAAUGCUCUCGAAACCAAUUCACUUGAGUGAGACAGAGGAGAGUGGAAUUUCGUGUGUAGGGGUGAAAUCCGUAGAUAUCAUUUGGAACGCCAAUGGUGAAAACAGGUAACUGGGGCUGUGCUGACGCUGAGACACGAAAGCCAGGGGAGCGAACGGG
This 251-nucleotide ribosomal RNA is filed under the name uncultured bacterium. Its description in RNAcentral is "partial 16S ribosomal RNA". It matches the Rfam family "Bacterial small subunit ribosomal RNA", at positions 524 to 776 of the family's 1533-position model. The record is from RNAcentral.